UUUCCUAAAUUUCUUCCUAAAAUAUGUUGACAUAAAAUAGUAAAAGGUCUUGUAUCAACUUGAAUUGAGGCAUAAACUUUUUUUUUAUGAUUAUUUUUAUUUCAUAUUGUAAUCGACUAGAUGUGUACUGUCAAUCCAUUGGUAGUACAGAAAAUUCCUCAUUACUAAGAAAUUCUUCAAAUUUGUGAUCUUUUUCCUGUGCAGGGGCAUGGGAUAUCCUG
This 221-nucleotide unclassified non-coding RNA is filed under the name Hevea brasiliensis (rubber tree). Lineage: Eukaryota; Viridiplantae; Streptophyta; Magnoliopsida; Malpighiales; Euphorbiaceae. The record is from RNAcentral.